RNAcentral lists this ribosomal RNA (501 nucleotides) under uncultured Staphylococcus sp. Its description in RNAcentral is "bacterial SSU rRNA". It matches the Rfam family "Bacterial small subunit ribosomal RNA", at positions 945 to 1445 of the family's 1533-position model. The record is from RNAcentral. Lineage: Bacteria; Bacillati; Bacillota; Bacilli; Caryophanales; Staphylococcaceae.
UUUAAUUNGAAGCAACGCGAAGANCCUUACCAAAUCUUGACAUCNUCUGACCCCUCUAGAGAUAGAGUUUUCCCCUUCGGGGGACAGAGUGACAGGUGGUGCAUGGUUGUCGUCAGCUCGUGUCGUGAGAUGUUGGGUUAAGUCCCGCAACGAGCGCAACCCUUAAGCUUAGUUGCCAUCAUUAAGUUGGGCACUCUAAGUUGACUGCCGGUGACAAACCGGAGGAAGGUGGGGAUGACGUCAAAUCAUCAUGCCCCUUAUGAUUUGGGCUACACACGUGCUACAAUGGACAAUACAAAGGGUAGCGAAACCGCGAGGUCAAGCAAAUCCCAUAAAGUUGUUCUCAGUUCGGAUUGUAGUCUGCAACUCGACUAUAUGAAGCUGGAAUCGCUAGUAAUCGUAGAUCAGCAUGCUACGGUGAAUACGUUCCCGGGUCUUGUACACACCGCCCGUCACACCACGAGAGUUUGUAACACCCGAAGCCGGUGGAGUAACCAUUUG